This 492-nucleotide ribosomal RNA is filed under the name uncultured bacterium. RNAcentral describes it as "partial 16S ribosomal RNA". It matches the Rfam family "Bacterial small subunit ribosomal RNA", at positions 29 to 507 of the family's 1533-position model. The record is from RNAcentral.
AGUGAACGCUGGCGGUAGGCCUAACACAUGCAAGUCGAACGGCAGCACAGUAAGAGCUUGCUCUUACGGGUGGCGAGUGGCGGACGGGUGAGGAAUACAUCGGAAUCUACUUUUUCGUGGGGGAUAACGUAGGGAAACUUACGCUAAUACCGCAUACGACCUACGGGUGAAAGCAGGGGAUCUUCGGACCUUGCGCGAUUGAAUGAGCCGAUGUCGGAUUAGCUAGUUGGUGGGGUAAAGGCCCACCAAGGCGACGAUCCGUAGCUGGUCUGAGAGGAUGAUCAGCCACACUGGAACUGAGACACGGUCCAGACUCCUACGGGAGGCAGCAGUGGGGAAUAUUGGACAAUGGGCGCAAGCCUGAUCCAGCCAUACCGCGUGAGUGAAGAAGGCCUUCGGGUUGUAAAGCCCUUUUGUUGGGAAAGAAAAGCAGCAGAUUAAUACCCCGCUGUUCUGACGGUACCCAAAGAAUAAGCACCGGCUAACUUCGUG